CAUGAUGAACGCUAGCGACAGGCUUAACACAUGCAAGUCGAGGGGCAGCACAGGUAGCAAUACCGGGUGGCGACCGGCGCACGGGUGAGUAACGCGUAUGCAACUUACCUAUCAGAGGGGGAUAACCCGGCGAAAGUCGGACUAAUACCGCAUGAAGCAGGGGCCCCGCAUGGGGAUAUUUGUUAAAGAUUCAUCGCUGAUAGAUAGGCAUGCGUUCCAUUAGGCAGUUGGCGGGGUAACGGCCCACCAAACCGACGAUGGAUAGGGGUUCUGAGAGGAAGGUCCCCCACAUUGGUACUGAGACACGGACCAAACUCCUACGGGAGGCAGCAGUGAGGAAUAUUGGUCAAUGGCCGAGAGGCUGAACCAGCCAAGUCGCGUGAGGGAUGAAGGUUCUAUGGAUCGUAAACCUCUUUUAUAAGGGAAUAAAGUGCGGGACGUGUCCCGUUUUGUAUGUACCUUAUGAAUAAGGAUCGGCUAACUCCGUGCCAGCAGCCGCGGUAAUACGGAGGAUCCGAGCGUUAUCCGGAUUUAUUGGGUUUAAAGGGUGCGUAGGCGGCCUUUUAAGUCAGCGGUGAAAGUCUGUGGCUCAACCAUAGAAUUGCCGUUGAAACUGGGGGGCUUGAGUAUGUUUGAGGCAGGCGGAAUGCGUGGUGUAGCGGUGAAAUGCAUAGAUAUCACGCAGAACCCCGAUUGCGAAGGCAGCCUGCCAAGCCAUUACUGACGCUGAUGCACGAAAGCGUGGGGAUCAAACAGGAUUAGAUACCCUGGUAGUCCACGCAGUAAACGAUGAUCACUAGCUGUUUGCGAUACACUGUAAGCGGCACAGCGAAAGCGUUAAGUGAUCCACCUAGGGAGUACGCCGGCAACGGUGAAACUCAAAGGAAUUGACGGGGGCCCGCACAAGCGGAGGAACAUGUGGUUUAAUUCGAUGAUACGCGAGGAACCUUACCCGGGUUUGAACGCAUUCGGACCGAGGUGGAAACACCUUUUCUAGCAAUAGCCGUUUGCGAGGUGCUGCAUGGUUGUCGUCAGCUCGUGCCGUGAGGUGUCGGCUUAAGUGCCAUAACGAGCGCAACCCUUGCCACUAGUUACUAACAGGUAAAGCUGAGGACUCUGGUGGGACUGCCAGCGUAAGCUGCGAGGAAGGCGGGGAUGACGUCAAAUCAGCACGGCCCUUACAUCCGGGGCGACACACGUGUUACAAUGGCGUGGACAAAGGGAAGCCACCUGGCGACAGGGAGCGAAUCCCCAAACCACGUCUCAGUUCGGAUCGGAGUCUGCAACCCGACUCCGUGAAGCUGGAUUCGCUAGUAAUCGCGCAUCAGCCAUGGCGCGGUGAAUACGUUCCCGGGCCUUGUACACACCGCCCGUCAAGCCAUGGGAGCCGGGGGUACCUGAAGUCCGUAACCGCGAGGAUCGGCCUAGGGUAAAACUGG
This 1439-nucleotide ribosomal RNA is filed under the name uncultured organism. Its description in RNAcentral is "SSU rRNA". It matches the Rfam family "Bacterial small subunit ribosomal RNA". The record is from RNAcentral.